AGGCACGCUACCACAGCCAUGAAGGAACGCUCGGACAUCUUUUUGCUGCAGGUUCUGUAGUUGUUUAUAUGGACUUGAUUGCUCUGGAAGUUAUGAUGAUUGCCUUCCACAGGGAGGCUGGACGUGACCCACGAAUUAAUUCUCAGGAAUAAAGGUUCUGUAGUUGUUCAUAUGGACUUGAUUGCUCUGGAAGUUAUGAAGAUUGCCUUCCCCA
Long non-coding RNA from Ixodes scapularis (black-legged tick), 214 nucleotides. RefSeq lists it as uncharacterized. The transcript is spliced from 3 exons. The record is from RefSeq and is a predicted model, not a curated record. NCBI's taxonomy places the organism in Eukaryota, Metazoa, Arthropoda, Arachnida, Ixodida, Ixodidae.